UUAUAAAUUGUUAAUAUAUAUAUAUAUAUAUAUAUAUAUGACUNNNNNNNNNAUAUAUAUAUAUAUAUGAGUCUGGCUAUGGUGCUCGUAAAUGAUCUAUACCACUUGAAAAUGAUCUAUAUCACUUGAAGUAUUUAGAAAUCAAAUUUCAUACUUUUUCGAUAUUAUUUUCUUGUCCAUCAAGUGAGCGUAAAAAUGAAUAGCUGAAAAUGAAUAUCCUCUAAAAAGUAAUGAUAGAAAUUUUGUAAUCAUGAUCGAGAGUAUAGAUCUUGUUCUAACUAGUUUAAAGAAUUUUGUAACCAAAAUUCAAUUGAUUUGGAUAGCUUUACACCGUUAAACGAGAAAAUCCCUCAUAUCAACCAUUAAAAUUACUAAUUUUGAAACCCUUUGAUCAUUAGGUAAAUGAUGUCGAAAAAAUAUGAAAUUUGAUUUCUAGAUACUUCAAGUGAUAUAGAUCAUGUUCAACGAUACCGAUCGUCGAUUUGAAAACUCCAUCAUCGAAAACAAAUGGGUGGCAACGGAGCUCGUUUGCUACCGAUAGCAUUCCAGCUCAACUCUAUAUAUAUAUAUAAAACUAGGCUAGAAGCUUGGAAUAGUAUCAAUAGCACCAAGCUAUUGGUGCUAUUAGAUUCAUAGUCCUUAGAUUGAGAAAUGUGCGGUUAGGAUGAUGUGGGCCCCCUAGGGUUGAGUGGGUGGUUAGUUGAAUAGUAUAAUCUAAGGGGUAAGAAUAAUUAAAAAGUUAAAUUUAACGGUGAAAAACUCAAUAGCACCAAGCCCACGAUGCUAUCGAUAGUAUCUCAGUCUGGCUCUAUAUAUAUAUAUAUAUACUAGUUGAGUGUACGUACAAAUGCACGUAACAAUUAAUUAUUUAAUAAUAUUUUAAAUUAAUAAAAAAUUGUACAUUAUAUUUAUUCAAAAAUUUAUAAUAUUUUAAAAAAUAAAUUUAUUUAUUAUAUAAUAUUAGAAAAUACCCGUCAUACUCUAAUUCAAAUUUAAAUAGUUGUUGUCAACAAUAAUUAUAUAGUUUUUUUUUAUUUUAUAAAAUUUAUAUAUAGUGUAGAAAUAGAUAUACAUGGAAUAUUUUCUAUAUUUUUUAAUUCUAAUAAAUUUAAAAUUUAAAUAUAUAUUUUUAAUUAAAAGUAUCAAAUUUAAAAAGUUAAUAUAAUAAUAAAAUAUUAAUAGAUAAAAUAGAGAUUAUAUAUAUAUAUUAUAGAUAGAGAUAAAGAAGAAUUAAAUAAAUUUUGAAUUAAAAUAAAGAAGAAUUAAAUAAAUUUUGAAUUAAAAUAAGGAAGAAAUAAAUAAAUUUAGAAUUAAAAUAUAGAUCCAUAGCAAAUAUUUUUCGGUUGGCAAAAAUUUGAAUAAGCAUAAUUUUUUUUUCUGUUGUAGAGAUUAAAAGUUUGUUUAAUUCUAUUAUUUAUUUUACGUAAGGAAAGAGGAAUCAAUUUUUUUCCCGCCAAAAAAUGAGUCUGUCCGCAGACCGAAAUUUGAAAUACGUGCUUUUAUAUAUAGUAUAGAUAAAUAAUUAUAUAUAUAUAUAAUAUAAAUUUUUAUUAUUAAAUUUUAAACUUAAUCUAAAUAUAAAGUCCAACUCAAAUAUAAAAAGAUAAUUAAUAUGUAAAGUUUUAAUUAUUAGAUUAACGUCAAAUUAGUAAGAUCUUAUAAAUUUAUAUUCUAUACAUAUCCUUCACAAUUCUUUUAACUUGUUGUUCAUGAACCGACUGUCCCUAAAGCAAGUGGCAAAGGACUUGGUGAUUGGUACUCGAGACCCAAGUUCGAAUCCUAGUUGAUUCAUAUUUCUAGCUAAGUUUAUUUCUAAAUGAAAUAAACGAAGCGACUAGCAUGCUACCUAUCUCUCAAAAAAAAAAAAAAUAUUGUU
Molecule: long non-coding RNA, 1876 nt
Filed under: Ananas comosus (pineapple)
Lineage: Eukaryota; Viridiplantae; Streptophyta; Magnoliopsida; Poales; Bromeliaceae
Description: long non-coding RNA (ACOM_LNC014062)
Source: RNAcentral